RNAcentral lists this long non-coding RNA (21246 nucleotides) under Prunus persica (peach). RNAcentral describes it as "long non-coding RNA (PPER_LNC007668)". The record is from RNAcentral. Lineage: Eukaryota; Viridiplantae; Streptophyta; Magnoliopsida; Rosales; Rosaceae.
UCCCAGCCUUGUGUAAAUAAAAUGGACAAAAUUAACACUCUAUCUUCCACUAAGAAAAAUAAUGGGAAUACAAAAAAUAAUCUCACCAAACACCAGUGGCUAAACUCUCUCUUGGUUUUUCUCUAAAGAGGAUUUUCUCUCACACACAAGUGAGGUUUUCUUAUCUCUCAAAACUCUCUAUGUUUUGGUUUUCUAAAGGAUGAUUUGAACUAAAUGAAGGCAGCUGCUUUUAUAGCCAACGUUCCUGAAAAAUUGAUGGCCUUGUAUGCGAGAGAGUUUUUCUCAUUUUCUCUUCCGUUCGUUUUCUUCAAAUUUUCCCGUCCUUUCUUUUAUUUUAUUUUAAUAUUUAUUUUCCUUCUUUUUCUCUCCUCCACUAACGAGGGAAACCCAUCAAUCUCCCCCUCCCGACUUAGGUGGAGGGCUCCAGCCGUCUAGCUGCUCUUCUGCAAAAUUCGUACUUGUCCUUAGGUAAGGACUUCGUCAUCAUAUCUGAACUAUUGUCAUCAGUAUGGAUUUUCUCAAGCUGUAAUUGCUUUGACUCCAACACAUCACGUAUCCAGUGAUAUCGCUCAUCAAUGUGCUUCGACCUCGAGUGAAAACUCGGAUUCUUGCUCAAGUGGAUCGCACUCUGACUAUCGCAAUGCAAAAUGUAUUUGUGCUACUCUUGCCCUAAUUCUUGUAGGAAUCGCUUCAUCCAAAGCAUUUCUUUGCAUGCUUCAGUAGCUGGAAUAAACUCUGCCUCUGUAGUUGAUAGAGCAACACAUUUCUGUAACUUUGAUUGCCACGAAACUGCUCCCCCUGAAAAUGCAAUCAGGUAUCCUGAAGUAGAUUUUCUGGAAUCAAGAUCUCCUGCCAUGUCUGCAUCUGUGUAGCCAAUCAAUUCAGGUUUUCCACCUCCAAAGCACAAACUCAUUUUGGAAGUACCCCUGAGAUAUCUGAGAACCCACUUAACAGCAUUCCAAUGGUCUCUGCCUGGUUUAGACAGGAAUCUGCUUACAACGCCAACUGCGUGCGUUAUGUCUGGCCUUGUGCAAAUCAUUGCAUACAUCAGACUACCAACAGCUGAGGAAUAUGGCACCAUAGCCAUGUUUUCUUUUUCUUUCUCACAUGUGGGACUCUGCUUUGAACUAAGCUUGAAGUGACUAGGAAAUGGAGUAGAAACUGGUUUUGCUUUAUCCAUGUUAAACCGCUUUAGUACCUUCUCGAUAUAACUUUCUUGUGAUAACCUCAACUUCCGAUUUUUUCUAUCACGGAUAUACUCAUACCGAGGAUUCAUUUUGCGGGUCCUAAGUCUUUCAUAGCAAAAGACUUGCUCAACUCCUUCUUCAGCUUGUUAAUCUUGUCACUGUUUUGUCCUACGAUCAACAUGUCAUCGACAUAGAGAAGAAGUAUGAUGAAUUCACAAUCAUCAAAUCUUUUCACAAAUACACAAUGGUCUGAAGUAGUCCUUCGAUAUCUAUGUUCAAUCAUGAAGGAAUCAAACUUCUUGUACCAUUGUCGAGGCGCCUGCUUGAGUCCAUAUAAGCUCUUCUUCAGCCGACAUACCAAAUCUUCUUUUCCUUUGACUUUGAAUCCUUCUGGCUGCUCCAUGUAGAUUUCUUCUUCAAGAUCUCCGUGAAGAAAAAGCUGUCUUCACAUCUAGCUGUUCGAUCUCGAGAUUCAGGCUUGCAGCUAAACCGAGAAGAACUCGUAUGGAUGACAUCUUCACUACGGGUGAGAAAAUCUCUUCAAAGUCAAUUCCUUUCUUCUGACUGAAACCUUUCACAACUAGCUUUGCCUUAAACCUGAGCUUAGAGUUGUUUUCUUCCGUCUUCAGUCGAUACAACCAUUUGUUCUUGAGUGCUCUUCUACCUUUUGGUAGGUUCACUAGAUCAUAUGUGUGGUUCUCAUGCAGAGAUUGCAUCUCUUCAUGCAUGGCUUUCAACCACUCAUCUUGUUGAUCAUGAGUCAAUGCUUCUUUAUAGCAUUCUGGUUCUCCCCCGUCUGUUAGGAGAACGUAAUCAUAUGGAGAAUACCUACUCGGAGGUCUCUGUACCCUGGUCGAUCUUCUUGGCUGGAAUUCGGCUUCUGGCUCUUCAUCGGCUUGUGCUUCUAGCCCUUCAUUUUCUGUAUCAUCUAUUAUACCAUCAGUUGUAUGACCAUCACUCAUGUCACCAUCAACUGGUUCAUUUAUAAUAGGAUCACUAGCUAGAUCAUCAGUAUCAUUGGAUUCAUCUUGCUCGUCAUUGUGCUCCAAUGGGGAAGGAACUGGAUCUAAGUUAGCUGGAUAUUCUCUAGGAUUAUUAGGUUUAUCACCUCUUCGAAUGUCUUCAAUGUUCUGAUCUUCAAAAAAGACAACAUCUCUACUUCUAAUAAUCUUUCUAGCUAUAGGAUCCCAUAACCUAUAAUCGAAUUCUUCAUUCCCAUAUCCCACGAAGAUACAUUCUUUCGACUUUGCGUCGAGCUUGGAUCUCUCGUCUUUAGGAAUAUGAACAAAAGCUCUACAACCAAAAACUUUCAAAUGAUUGUAGGAAACGUCUUUUUUCCGACCAGAACUUGUUCGGGACAUCACCAUUCAAAGGUGCUGAAGGAGAAAGGUUGAUUAGAUCAACCGCAGUCAUCAGGGCUUCACCCCAAAAACUUUUGGGCAGCUUGGCAUGAGAUAACAUUGUUCUUAUUCUUUCAACAAUUGUUCUGUUCAUUCUCUCAGCUAUGCCAUUAUGCUGAGGAGUCUUCGGAACAGAUCUUUCAUGCCUGAUUCCAUUACUUCUACAGUAAUUUCUAAAUGCCCCCAUAUAUUCUCCUCCGUUAUCAGUGCGAAUACAUUUGAAGCUUCUACCAGUCUCUCGUUCAACGCUAGCAUGAAACUGCUUGAAAACUUCAUACACUUGAUCUUUUGUUCUAAGUGCGUAAGCCCAUACCUUCCUGGAAUGAUCGUCAAUGAAGGUAACAAAAUAUCUUGCACCACCAAGAGUACUAGUGGUCAUAGGACCACAAACAUCAGAGUACACAACAUCCAAUACAUUGGGUUUUCUUUGUGCAUGACCAUAUUGAAACGAAGCUCUAUGCUGCUUUCCAGCCAAGCAAUGCGUGCAUGAUUUUAGAGGCAUGCCUUUCUUCGUCCCAGUCAGUGCCUCUCUUUUGACUAGAAUUUGCAGCCCUUUCUCGCUCAUGUGACCGAGCCGUCUAUGCCAUAGCUCGAUUGAGUCUUCUGCGAGAGCAUUUACGUACCCAUUACUGACUUUUGCAUGUGUCAUGUAUAGGGUGUUCUCCUUUUUCCCUCGUGCUAGAACAAGAGAGUUCUUGCUGAGUUUCCAUUUCCCUUCAUCGUCAAGUAAUCCAGUGGAGAUUAGAUUGAGACGCAUGUCUGGAACAUGUCUCACAUCCUUGAGGACCAAGUGACAACUUGUGUUGGUUUCAAGGGAAAUAUCUCCUCUUCCCACGAUCUUGGACAAUUUUUCAUUUCCCAUCCUCACAUUACCAAAAUCUCCAUUGGUGUAAGAUGUAAAGAAGUCCCUCCGUGAGGUGACAUGAAAUGAUGCACCAAAGUCCACUAUCCAGCAUGUAUCUUGAGAGGAAAAGUUAAUGAAACCAUCACCACAUAGAAUAAGUACCUCAUUUCCACCAGAGGUAGUUGCGGUCGUGUGCCUGACAUCACUCUUUUUGUUACCUCUAUCUUACUCUCGUUUAAACAACCUGCACUCUCUCUUCAUGUGGCCUAUCCCGCCACAAUGGUAACAUUCUAGGUCCUUUCUUGUCUUGGACCUUCCUCUCAAGCCAUCUCUUGACCUGCCCUUUGACUUGUCUCGUCUGUGGAAUUUUCUAUUGUUAGUUCUUCCACGAUACUCUGAGACGAGGGCUUCUGACUCGGCUACUACACCUUGUUCUUUCCUCCUUACUUCUUCAUUGAACAUGCUAUCUUUAACUAUAUCCAAUGUAAGAACGCCUUGAGGAGCUGAAUUGCUUAAGGAUACUACUAGUGUAUCCCAGCUAUCAGGCAAAGAACUGAGUAACAUUAGUGCUUGUAACUCAUCAUCAAUCACCAUCUUCAUAUUCGUCAACAGGUUGAUCAAACCUUGGAAGUCACUGAGAUGCUCGGUAACACUUCGACCAUCUCUGUACUUAAGGUUUACCAACCGUCGGAUAACCGAUGCUUUAUUUUGAGCGGUCUUCUGCUCGUACAUGGAAGACAAUUUUGUCCAUAAUUUGUAUGCAUCCGUCUCUUGUGCCACAUGGUGGAACACACUUUGAUCCACCCAUUGUCGGAUUUGUCCUACAACUUUUCUAUUCAGAAUGCUUCAUGCAUCGUCUGACUUCCCUGCUGGUUUUUGUCCCAGCAAUUGAAGGGGCUCAUACAAAUCCUUGCAGUAAAGGAUGUCCUCCAUUCUUGAAUUCCAAAUGGAGUAAUUGGAUGCAGUCAAUUUUAACAUUGUUGCUGAUGAUGAUGACGAUGACUCCUCCAUCUUAAAUUACACAAGAAUAUAAUUUUUGAGCCAAAGCUCUGAUACGACUUGUUGGGAAAGAUUACGAAAAAUCAAAGAGCCAAUAAAUAAAUAUGGCACUCCCAGGAUCUGACUUCUCCCAGCCUUGUGUAAAUAAAAUGGACAAAAUUAACACUCUAUCUUCCACUAAGAAGGAAUACAAAAAGUAAUCUCACCAAACACCGGUGGCUAAACUCUCUCUUGGUUUUUCUCUCAAGAGGAUUUUCUCUCACACACAAGUGAGGUUUUCUUAUCUCUCAAAACUCUCUAUGUUUUGGUUUUCUAAAGGAUGAUUUGAACUAAAGGAAGGCAGCUGCUUUUAUAGCCAACGUUCCUGACAAAUUGAUGGCCUUGCAUGCGAGAGAGUUUUUCUCAUUUUCUCUUCCGUUCGUUUUCUUCAAAUUUUCCCGUCCUUUCUUUUAUUUUAUUUUAAUAUUUAUUUUCCUUCUUUUUCUCUCCUCCACUAAUGUGGGAAACCCAUCACAUACAUAAAAGGAGGAAUUUUUCUCUCCUCCACUAACGAGGGAAACCCAUCACAUACAUAAAAGGAGGAAAUAAAACGCACACACACACAAAGGAAGAAGAAGAGGGAACCCUAACUUAGAGCUAUAACAGCACUCUGAUUCUCACCUUUUGAGCUGCAGCAUAGAGCUCACAAAUCAUAUCACUCAAUAAUAGACUAAUGACAUAUAAUAGCAGCACUCUUAUUCUGACCUUUUAAUCUUCUUAAUUGUCUUUGAAAUGUAUUUAAAACCUUGGGAAAAUCCUUCAUUCAAAGGAAAUAGCGUGAGCCCAAACACAGAGACAGGAAGAAGGGCAACCACAUAAAUGAGGGACGUUCCAAGUCUUUUGAUGAUGAAUCAAGAGCACAAUAGUAGCAGUGAAGGUCAGCAUGGUGGCUACCAGCGAGAAGAAUAGAAGGGCGAAUCCUAAAUGCAGCCUGACGGGAAGAGAAUGGUGAAAGUUUUCGUACUCAAACGAGGAAGUCAGGAUAGAGAGAAACGUGCCCAAAGAAAUCAAUGAGCAGAUGAGCGAGAUAGUGUCCGAAAUAGUGAAUGUGAUGAAGAAAGGAGAAUGACGGAGAACAGGAACCCGUCUGUUAUCAUUACCCCGGGGAACCGUAAAGGCGGCUGCAUAGGCCACCAAAGCCGCCAUGGUCGAGUACGACUGUACGACUGAGCUGUCUCUUUUAUCCAUCCUUUUGCCGACGUAAUUAGACUUGAAUGCUCACUUUCAAAGAGCUCCUUCGCUGUCACACCCUGAUUGUUCCGGUGCAUGAAGUAAUGAGGUGGCGUUAUCUUUUCCACACGCUGCCCACAAAUGGAAAGUUGUUGAGGAUGAACCAUUUUGAUCAGCGUAAACAUAACUAGUUUCAUUUCAUAUUUAAUAUAUAACUAUAAUCAGCUCUUAGUUCAAUGAUACUUCUCUUUGCAAUGUUCAAAGAUAAUUAUUAAAAUUAGGGAAUUAGGUGUAUAUAUAUAAAUAAAACUCACUCACCGCCAUCCAACGCAAUUCUUCUUGCAACUGAAACAGGACCACUUAUGCGUUUAGUGCUACAGAGUAAAAACUCAUGUCUGCAACGUGGUGCAAUAUGGUGUUCCCAUACUAAUCAAUCCUGUAAGCCAAUCUUGACGUUGUCAAUUUUCUCUUUUCUUAAAUGUUAAAGAUGGCUAGCCGACGAUGCUUAAUGGCCAUGUGCAGAAUGUUUUGUUUGUUGUCAAUAUCGUGCGCAUCCACCGCUUGAGGGUGAGCCUUCAACAUCUUUUUCACAAUUUGUGAUAUUCCGGGGAAGUGGGGUAUAUUUAUAAGUAGAUUUACUAUUUUGUGAUAUUCCAUUUUCUUUGCGAACACAAUUAUCAGCACCUUUUCCCACCUCUGAAUACACCAGAGUAAAUGUCUUGAUGUCAUCGGUUGGUUCUUCAUAUUUUGCCCAUGAAUAGUCCUCCUCCACCAGCAAAUCAGUGAGUUCCGAUAGUAUUUUUCGAUUUUGCAUUUCCUCCAACAUUAUCGAUUCGUCACCAUCCUAGUAAGUUAUAAUCAUUAUAUUAUAUAUACGCAUCCCUAUUAUUAUUCAGUGGAGAUAUUGAUGAAGAAGGAACAAAAAAGAAAAGAAAAGUGUUAGUAUGAAAAUUGUAUUGUCAUUUCCUAGACUCUAGCAAAGGUUGGGAAUUAGUGUGUGAAUAUUGCUUACUGGAAGUUUUGGCGCAACACAUUCAAUCCCGGAUUUUCGUAGUGUGACUUGAUCGAUAUGAGGAAGCUGAUUUCAGGUAAAUCAUGACAUAAUCAUGCAUUCAUUAUAGGAUUCCUAAUUGGGGUUAUUUUCAAUCAAGUAUUUUUAUGUUAAUCUUAUUUUUAAUAGAAUUAGAUUUUAUCUCUUAAGAUUACUUUCCUAUAGUUGGACUCGAUUUUGAUUUACGUUAAAAUAUCAGCGUUUUGGUGUCAUCACUUUGAGUACAUAUUGAAUCAUAAUUCAUAUUCAUAAUUGGAUAGUAGUUUGUCUUCUAGUUGGCGUCUUAAUAAAGAGCAUAUAUUGGAUCAGGUUGUAGUGUUAUAGUUGGAGAGAAUUAAUGCUCUCUUGGGUUUCUCUUCUUCAGCAGAAAACAUGUAUUGAAGGGUGGUUUUCUAUUCAAACGUGGGCUUUUCAACGUGUUGAACUUUUGGGGAUAUUGAAUUUGUUUUUAGAAAGCCGCUAUGCAUAUUGUUCAGAUAAGUCAUCAAAUGUUCCUUGUUUACUUGUGAUUUAUCAUAUUCUUUCAUCAUUCAUAUUGCAUUCAUUUGUAUUGUUAGGUGACUCAUAUGGUUGAGGGCACCAACACUGACCAUUCAAUGAUUCAAAGAUUCAAAGAUUCAAAGAUUAGGCUAAACGGUAACCGUCUGAUUGUGCGAUCGCGAGCAAUCCGACCGUUCGAUUCAGACCAAACUUGCAGGACAUGUAUAAUAAACCUUGUUGAACCCAUAGGAACUUUCGAAUUGAAAAUCGGAAGUCAUGGGCCCCAUGGGUCCAGUUGACCAAAUUUGAAAAGUUUGACCACUCGGUUGACCGAGCGUCUUCUGUGGUUAUUCCAUCACUCGAAACACAUAGUUGAACCUUGGGAACUUCCUAUCCAUCAUACACACUUGAAUCCCAAGAAACUAGGAAUUUAUUUUAAAGUUCUCGUUCGAACUAUUUAAAUUAAUUUAGUCUUCGUAUUCUUAAAUAGGUACUCUGACCCAACGUACGCAAUAGGCGGGACUAUUAUGGAAGUAUUGGAAUUAUAUUCGAAUAAUUGUGGCUUAUGAAUAUUUUGAAUGGAUAUGUGCUAUUUUUGAGAAUGUUAUUUAUACUUGGAUAUGUGUUGAGUACAUGUGUUUGUUGAAAAUAGUUUAUGAAAUGUGGAUUGGGUUGUGGUUAAGUUAGUUUUGAGUGCUAUUAGCACUACCUUAUGUACCUCCCCGGAUUUGAAAUACUUGGAUUGAAAAUUUGGAACUAUGGGAUAUUUGGAUAUGUCGGAACCCGGGCACCCUUGACGAGGUGUUUCGUAGACAAUUAGUGGGGUUAGUCUGCGCUCGUAAGAUUUGUCAUAAGCGUACGAGUAUUGAGGAUUCUGCUGUAUGUGCUGGUGAGCCUAGUCCCCUGGUUGGACGGCUCAUUCUCUAGCCACAUGGUCAAUUGAGGAUUCUUCCAUGUGGUCUAGUCAAACAAUCCCCCGGUUGGAUUGUUUCCCCAGUACAAGUUUGGUAAUAGCCAUACUUAUAUAUAUGUAGAUAUAUAUUAUAUUUAAUAUGUAUAUAUAGAUACCUAUACAUUUAUUCUUGUUUAUCGAUGAGGAUACAUCCUUGCUUGUAGUGCCAAUGAGCACGCAAUUCAAUAUAAUAGUUUGGGGAAAAUGAAAAAGGUUUUGGAAUGGGAUAGGUGUUAAUAUGCUAUUACGAGAAUAUGGACUCCACAAUGGUUUUGACUUAGCUAUAUAUAUACUUUGGUUUUGAAUGCAUGUCGUUUUUAGCAUCGUUUUCUAAAUGGUGGGGUCAUUAUAGGUUGUUUUCAAAUAUAACGAAACUUUGUUCUUGUCCACUCACACAUUUUCUGUUUUGUGCCCCCUAGGCAGUAGAUAGACUCGUACCGAGCGGUCGAAUCGAGAUAGUCACUUCUGGGCCCGAUCUCUUGUAGUAUGACUUUUCUUCGUUUUAUUUCCGUUGAACUUUUUGUUUCACUUGUAAAAUCAAUUUCAUUAGAUAUGCUCUGUUCCUGCCCAUGCUAGGGUUGGAUGUAAGGUCGGAGGCCUAUUAUGCAAACUGCAUGAAUUUACAUUGUCCAUGCUGUCGGUUGGUGUUUAUAAUUGUGUUUUUAAUUGGUUGAAAAUUUUGGAAAAUGUCCAUUUUUUAGGGGAGACUCUUCUGAAAUUUUAGUAGAAAGUCUUGUCCCUUUUUAGUAAGUGGGCACGACAUCAGUUUGAUGUUGGAAAUACCACAGAAUUCGUUCCGGAUUCCGAGGAUUUCAAGGUGGGUCCUGUCAAUUCUCAAAUAAGAUUAUUUGAGGGAUCCCUCAACUAAAGCUCUCUAUGUGUGUACACACACACACACACACACACACACACACACACACACACACACACACACAUAUUUAUAUAUUGAAGGGAAAUCACUUGAAUCCGAAACCAUUUGACCACUCAAUUAGAUGGGUGUUAUUAUAGUAUAUUCUUGAAGCACCCUGCUCGUCUAUUUUGUUGGCCUUAAUUAGAUGCCUUAAUGAUUUUCAAUUUUCAUAAUUUUUUGCAAGGACAAUCCAUGAAUAAACAUGUUAAAAAUAGAUGGUUUGGAUCGUUCAAAAAAAGUUCGUAAGGGACCCUAAAUGGUGUCUCCUCAAAUAAGCUUAUUUGAGGGACACCCCUUGUAGGCCCCACUCCGGAUUGUAUUUCACUAAUCCAAACCAUCUAUUUUGUAGAUACUCAUUCAAAGAUCACCUCUACAAAAAAUCACUUGAAUAUGAUAUCAUUUGACCACUCAAUUAAGUUAUUGAAAUUUUAGCAUUUUCUUAAAGCACCGUGUUCAUUGAUUUUGUAAGACACAAUUGGAUGUCGAAACGGUUUCCAGUUUGUCUAAUUUUUUGUAAGGACGAUCUAUGAAUGAAGGCCUAAAAAAUAGAUAAUUUGGAUUAUUGGGAAAAAAAAAAAAUUAGGGUACCCUAAAAGGCAUCCCUCAAAUAAAAUUAUUUGAGGGAUCCCUCAAUAGAAGGGGACUAUAUAUAUAUAUAUAUAUAUAUCCUGUCUAAUGUUUAGAUAUUCCCUCAAAGAUUAUCUGUGCAAAAAUAAUUUGAAUCCGAAAUAAUUUGACCACUCAAUUAGAUUAUUUUAGUAAUUUCUUGAAGUACCGUGUUCGUCGAUUUUGUUGCUUGCAGUUAGAUGCGUUAAUGAUUUUCAAUUUAUUUUAUUUUUUACAAUGAAGAUUUAUGAAUGAAGACGUGAAAAAUUGACGGUUUAGAUCGUUUAAAAAAAAAUCAUAGGCGUACUCCAAGGGGCGUCUCUCAAAUACAAUUAAAGUCUAAACCUACACCAGGUUUAACAAAAAAGUUUCUUAUGCUAUUUGGACGGUAUUUAUUGGCCAUAUUGAUGACCCUAAACCCUAGUAGCAACAGCCUUUCAUAUUAUGGAAAAAUAACUUUUAUUUUUUAUUUUUAACAAAAUAAGUUGUUUUUAAGAUUUUAUGCAAGGAUGACAUUAUAUAUGAUAAACACAAACAAAACACACACAUACACAUAUAUAACUUUGAAAGUUUGAUUAAUUACCCGUAGUCUUCCUUGAACAACUAGAUUGGCAAGGCUGACUGAUCCUGUGACAGGACCCGCCUCGAAAUUUUUCGAAAACCGAAGCGGACCCCGUCUUUGUUCCGACAUCACCUCGAUGCCGGGCCCACUUACUAAAAACAGAGACUCACUACCAAAAUUUGGCAGAGCCUCCCCUGUGAAUUGAACAAACCCAACAAAAUUUAACAUGCAUAAAAAUACAAUAAUCCCAACCAGCAGCAUGCUUUAAAGCGAAUAAAAAGUUUACAACAAAAUGGCCUCCGGCCUCACAAAUUAAACCCUAACAGGGGCAAUAACAGAGCAUGACUAAGAACUUCAAUUUCAACAAAACAGAGUUCAAAGGGAAUAACAUGAAGAAAGAGUCCUACGAAGGAUCAAGGCUCGGAAGCGCAGGAUCCGGUUCUGCUGCGGAGCUCAGUCAACUACUGGUUGGGGGGGGCAAAACAGAAAAUUGUGAGUGGACAAAAAUAAAUUCAGUUCAGUGUAAACCAAUGUAAUAGAACCCCACCGUUUAGAAAAUCAUGCAAGAAAUCCCAUGCAUCUCAAAACCAUCAUACUCAAGUAUAUAUAUAAAAUAUAUAUAAAAAAACAAAUCAAUACCAGAUGCCAAGUCCGAAACCCAUAAAGAACGCUUUACAAAACCCACCAUCCAAAACUUAUAAAUCCCACAACUAAACUCUCGAAAGCGUACCCAUUGGUACGACUGGCAAGGAAGUAUCCUCACCGAAAAACAAGAAUGAAUGAAUAUAUAUAAAUAUAUAAUAUAAGAGAUAUAUAAUAUAAAUAUGACCAUCACCUGGUUGUACCGGGGAAACAAUCCAACCGGGGGAUUGUUUGACUAGUCACCCUGGCAGAGUCCUCAUGAAGAGUCCUUAAUCCACCAUGUGACUAGGGAACGAGUCGUCCAACUGUGGGACUAACUCUCAGCCAUCACGUACCGUCGAUAGCCUCAAAACCCGUACGUCUGUGAUCAGUCUUACGCGCACAGACUACCCAAUCAAGGGUCUACAGCAACAUCCCGUCAAGGAUGCCCCGGGUUCCGACAAUUCCAAGUAUCUCAAGUCUCUAUAUCUAAGUUCCAAAUUCAGGGAGGUACAUAGGGUGGUGCUUAUAGCACUCCAAACUGACAUUCUAUACUCAUCACUUUCUACAAUCUCAUCUUAACAACCCAAGUGCCCCACACAUAGCCAAACAUAUAUAGAAAUCCUCAAAAUCCAUAUAUUCAUACUCAAGAUACUCAAAUAUGUCAAAACCCAAAAUAUAUUUCCAAUGCCUCAUAAAAAUAUCACUUUCAACAAUUAAAUAAAUAAUAUAUCCAAAAUACCAUUUAAAACAUCAUGCAUAAUAUUUCCCAAAAUUCAUAUAAAAUAUACUUUCAAUACCCAACUAUGCCAAACCCACAAUAUAUUGCCAAAGCGCUAUACAAACAUCAAAUUCAACCCAUGAAUAUAAUAUAUUCAAUAAAUCAUUAAAAACAUUAUGCAUAAAUCUUUCAUCAAUAAAACCAUGCAUAAGAUUUGAAAAAAAAGUCCACUCACAAGUAGUCCCACGCUGCUUGACCUUGAGAGGGUCCCGCCUGUUGCGUAUGCAUGGUCGGAGUACCUAUUUCAGAAUACGUAUACGAGAUUAAUACGAAGCGUUUCGAACGAGUACUUUGAAUUUAAUAUCCUAAUUUCCCAGGUUUCUAGUAAGUGUACUAGGAACGAGACGUUCUAAGGUCCAACUACCCAAUUUGGACGAUGGAACUGCUUCGGGAGACACUCGGUCAACCGACGGUCAACCUUCCCAAUUCGGGUCAACCGGGCCCAUGGGACCCACACCCUCCGUUUUACAACCCGAAAGUUCCUGAAAGUUUCACGAGGUCUAAGAUACCCGUCUCGCAAGUUUGGUCUGAAACGGACGGUUAGAUCGCUUACGAUCGCACGAUCGGACGGUUAUUAUAAAACAUAAACUUUAAGUUAUUGAAUUGGAACAUCCGGGGCUCUGAUUCACAAUCCGCGAAUUCCUAUACGAUCCUAGGAAUACCUAGAACAACAUAUAUUGAUUGGGAAACAAUCCAAUGGUCAAAACCUAUCGAACCCGGAUAAUGCACAAUAUGCGAAAAUCCGUUCGAUAGUCAAACGAUGUCUGAAUUGAGAUCCGCAAAAUCCUAUGCACUCGUGACAACCAGGAGAUCGCAUUGGGACAAUCAUGCCCCUCUGUAGUGCCCACAUUCCGCCAUAUGCGCCGGCAGCCCGCGGGUGUCCAAAGCGAUAAAGCUUCACCAGAAAAUCUCCAAAUUACAAGCCACCCUCCCAGCUACAGGUUCUACUCGACAAGUGGAACACUUUAUUCAACUACACCCAAGUCCAAUUCAGAUGGCAAGUGGUCGGAAUCGGCGUCGAAAACUCACAGUUUAACCCGGAACUUCACGACCUCGAUCCGGUGACCAUCGUUGCCAUUGUCGUCGCACAACCUAGGAAAUAGCUAGAAGGGGAGGAGAGCUACCUGUUCCAAGCGACGGCGCAGCUCACCAUGGCCAAAAACGUAGCCGUUGAUGUCGACAGUUUUGGCUGAUUUUUCACGUCGUUGCCACCGCUGUUUGCUGGGUUUUCGAUCGGAGAAAAGGGGUGGGCUGGGUAGAGGAGGAAGAGAGGAAGCUUUUGCAAGAAACGGCAACCGAAAUGGAGGUCAGACGGCGAAGUUCUCGCCCUCUGAAAUUCCGGCGAAAAAUUGAAUCGGGGAGGGGGGUUCAGCCGCGGGGAGAGAGAGAGAGAGAGAGAGAGAGAGAGAGAGAGAGAGAGAAGUCAGAUAUUUUUAAACCCAAAUUUUGAAAUAUUUACGGUUUUGCCAUUGUCGAUGUUUUGAUCAUAAUUUCUUCGUCACAACUCCAAAUUAAGUCUACCUUGUGUCUACGAAUUCUUCUCAGUAUCACCUACCCAAAAAUACCAGUCACUGCCCCCAAACACUUUCCGGACAAGAAAAUGACCAAUUUACCCCUAUCCUAAGGGUAAAUUCGUAAAUUCACUUAAAUAAUUUAAAAUAGGAAUUAAAUUUGGAGUCGGGGUGUUACAUCCUGCUCUCCAAGUCAUUGUAAAACCCCGACUCCAAAUUUAAUCCCAUAUUUAAAUUAUUUAAGUGAAAUUACGAAUUUACUAUUUGGGUAGGGGUGUUUCGAACAUUUUAUUACCCGAAAAGAGUUUGGGGCAGUGACUGGUAUUUUUAGGUAGAUCGUACUGAUAUGAGUUCGUAGACACGUAGUGGGCUCAAAUAGGAGUUUUAACGAAGAAGUUACUUGCAAAACAUCACCAAUGGUAAAAUCGUAAAUAUUUCAAAAUGGGUUUUUUAAUAAAAAAAAAUUGAAAAACCCUCUCUCUCUCUCUCUCUCUCUCUCUCUCUCUCUCUCUCCCCUAUCGCUAACAUCCCCCCUCCUCUUCCUUUUCACAGCCACCACCCUCCAAGGCUGUUGCCGCCGCCAUAGUCAACGACCGGCCUCGAGACCGGUCCCAUUCGAACCGCCACCUCUCCCUCAUCCUUUCCCAACUGGUCUCAGCCAUCCCCGUCCACUGUGCUCGCCGGAAUCCAUCGAUAACGAGCCAGUUUUGACAGAACUUCUCACCGCUCGAUCUCUCUCCUCCAGCCACCAAUUACGUCUGGUGAGGUAUGAUUUCUCAUCUAUUUUCCGAGCUCUAGCUGUCUAUGGGAUAGGAUUGGAUCGAUUUGCUGUCUAGAAAACCGAUUUGAAAACCUAAGUUUUGACCAGAUUUCAAAGUGAAAUUCUGGCCAGUUGCCGUCCGAAUUGGACCUCCCCAUAGUUGAAUGAAGUGAUUCUUGCCUCGAGUAGUAGCUAGGAUGGGAAGGGUGAGCAGUUGUGUGGAGUUUUUCCGUCACCAGAAUUUACUCUACACACCCACACGCUGCCGGCAGGUGUGGCGGCCCAUGAGCAAGGGUGGUGAAGCUACACUUUGUCCUGAUGAGGUCCUCAGGUUGUCAUGAGUGCGUAAGAUUUCGCGGAUCUCGAUUCAAAAUUCGUUUGACUAUCGAACGGAUUUCGCAUAUUGUGCGUUAUCUGGGUUCGAUAGGUUUGAAUGGUUGGAUAGUCUUAGAUUUAUUAUAUUUUAGUCUGCACAUCCUCAGGAUCGUAUAGGAUUCAACGGAUCGUAAAACGGAGUCCCGGAUACUCCGAAAAUGCCAACCUUAGGGCUAUGUUUAUAGUAUCCGUCCGAUCGUGCGAUCGUGAGCGAUCCGACCGUCUGAUUUGGACCAAAUUUGCAGGACGGGUGUCCUAAACCUUGUAGGACCCAUAGGAACUUUAGGUAGCUUGAAUCGGAAUUUGAAGGUCGUGGGGCCUGUGGGCCCGUUUGACCAAGUUUGGGUAGUUUGACCCUUGGUUGAUCGUGAGUCUUCUGAGGUAGUUUUACCUUCCUAGGAUGAUUAUAAUGACCCUAGUGACAUGUCUUGAGCGUUAUUGAGCUAUGUUGACUAGGUUGAGAUUUUUAGAGUGUUUAGUAUUAUUGUAGGAAACUCUUAGAUAUUAUUUUAAUAAUUGAAAUUAUGAAAUUUAUGUUUAUGUGCGUUAUUGUUGGUCUAAAAAUAAUAUUAUUUUUCUGAUGAAAUUACGUUGUAGUCUACUAUAGACUGGUGUCACUAAAUUAUGAUUACCUCUAGUAUUAGUUUAGAAAAUUAAGAGUAUGUCAGUUUGAAGUGCUAUACGCACUACCCUAAAGUACCACCCUGUGUUUGUCAAGUCACCCGUGGAAUAGGAUUUUCCGAUGGGAUGACAGACCCCAUACAUGACGUAUGGGGAGAUUAUGUGAUUGUUAAGUCCCACAUGGCGUAGGUUAUCCGGCGUGAGGACAGACCCUAUAUGUGACGUUGGAAUUUUCGGCGUAUGGAGAUGCUAUGAUUGUUAGGUCACACGUGGCGUAGGUGAUCCGGCGUGCUGACAGACCCUAUACGUGGCGUUGAAAUUUCAGACGUAUGGGGAGAUUAUGUGAUUGUGAGGUCACCUGUGGCGUAGGAUUUUUCGGCGGGAUGACAGACCCCAUACGUGACGUUGGAAUUUCCGGCAUCUGGAGAAAUGUGAUUGUUAGGUCCCACGUGAGGUAGGUUAUCCGACGUGAGUACAAACCCCAUAUGUGGCAUUGGAAUUUCCGGCAUAUGGGGAGAUUAUGUGAUUGUUAGGUCUCGCGUGGCGUAGGAUUUUCCAGCGUUGAGACAAACCCCAUACAUGGUGUUGGAAUUUUCGGCGUAUAGGGAGAUUAUGUGAUUAACAGAGAGAUGAAUAAAGGUAUAUUGUGUGUUUGGAAUCGGAAUUUAGUGGGAAGAACUAUGUGUGGCUUGAUCCCUUAGUGAGGAUACGUAGGCAGCCUAAGGUUAUUAGGUGUAGCUGCGGACAUAGAUGUAAUUGUAUUAGGAGGUUAAAACCUCGUAUGAUGAAAUUGGAAAAGUUUUAUGAUGUAUGUUGUAUUUAGUAUUCAUAAUUCAUAGUUGAGUUUAUUAUGUGCCUUGCUGAAAGCAAUAUUUGGCUCAAGAGCCUUGUGGGUAGUUUGGUUUCGCUUCGGUUUUUGUGAGGGCCGAAGGCCGAGUUUGUGAAUUGCAUGAAAUUAUAUUGUGUGUGCUGCCUGUUGGGUUAUUAAAUGUGUUUUAUGCAGGUCGAGAAAUUUGGGGAAUGAUCAAUUUACAGGGGAGACUCUGCCGAAAUUUCGGCAGAAAGUCCCGGUCUUUAGUAAGUGGGCCCGAUAUCGGGGUGAUGUCGGGAAUUCCACAGGAUUCGUCUCGGGUUUCAGGAAAUUCAGAGCUGGUCCUGUCAAUCAUCCUUUUGAUUCGGUGGGACAUCAUCAGUAGAAGGGAAAAUGCCUAAAUGUAUAAUAAGGGGAGCACAAAGAUCAGCAUUAUCACUAUUAGAAAGGCUUCCAUAAAUAAAGGGGGCACUAUUCUUGCUCCAUAAGCUUGGCUUGGACUUCAUUCUGAGAGUGUAACUACCAAUGGUAAUUCUUUUAAGAAAAAUCAAAGAGCUAAUAAAUAAAUAUGGCACUCCCAGGAUCUGACUUCUCCCAGCCUUGUGUAAAUAAAAUGGACAAAAUUAACACUCUAUCUUCCACUAAGAAAAAUAAUGGGAAUACAAAAAUAAUCUCACCAAACACCGGUGGCUAAACUCUCUCUUGGUUUUUCUCUCAAGAGGAUUUUUUCUCUCACACAAGUGAGGUUUUCUUAUCUCUCAAAACUAUCUAUGUUUUGGUUUUCUAAAGGAUGAUUUGAACUAAAUGAAGGCAGCUGCUUUUAUAGCCAACGUUCCUGACAAAUUGGUGGCCUUGCAUGCGAGAGAGUUUUUCUCAUUUUCUCUUCCGUUCGUUUUCUUCAAAUUUUCCCGUCCUUUCUUUUAUUUUAUUUUAAUAUUUAUUUUCCUUCUUUUUCUCUCCUCCACUAAUGAGGGAAACCCAUCAAUCUCCCCCUCCCGAUUUGGGUGGAGGGCUCCAGCAGCCCAGCUGCUAUUCUGCAAAAUUCGUACUUGUCCUUAGGUAAGGACUUGGUCAUCAUAUCUGAACUAUUGUCAUCAGUAUGGAUUUUCUCAAGCUGUAAUUGCUUUGACUCUAACACAUCACGUAUCCAGUGAUAUCGCACAUCAAUGUGCUUCGACCUCGAGUGAAAACUCGGAUUCUUGCUCAAGUGGAUCGCACUCUGACUAUCGCAACGCAAAAUGUAUUUGUGCUGCUCUUGCCCUAAUUCUUGAAGGAAUCGCUUCAUCCAGAGCAUUUCUUUGCAUGCUUCAGUAUCUGCAAUAAACUCUGCCUCUGUAGUUGAUAGAGCAACACAUUUCUGUAACUUUGAUUGCCACGAAACUGCUCCCCCUGAAAAUGUAAUCAGGUAUCCUGAAGUAGAUUUUCUGGAAUCAAGAUCUCCUGCCAUGUCUGCAUCUGUGUAGCCAAUCAAUUCAGGUUUUCCACCUCCAAAGCACAAACUCAUUUUGGAAGUACCCCUAAGAUAUCUGAGAAUCCACUUAACAGCAUUCCAAUGCUCUCUGCCUGGUUUAGACAGGAAUCUGCUUACAACGCCAACUGCGUGCGUUAUGUCUGGCCUUGUGCAAAUCAUUGCAUACAUCAGACUACCAACAGCUGAGGAAUAUGGCACCAUAGCCAUGUUUUCUUUUUCUUUCUCACAUGUGGGACUCUGCUUUGAACUAAGCUUGAAGUGACUAGGAAAUGGAGUAGAAACUGGUUUUGCUUUAUCCAUGUUAAACCGCUUUAAUACCUUCUCGAUAUAACUUUCUUGUGAUAACCUCAACUUCCGAUUUUUUCUAUCACGGGAUAUACUCAUACCGAGGAUUCGUUUUGCGGAUCCUAAGUCUUUCAUAGCAAAAGACUUGCUCAACUCUUUCUUCAGCUUGCUAAUCUUGUCACUGUUUUGUCCUAUGAUCAACAUGUCAUCGACAUAGAGAAGAAGUAUGAUGAAUUCACCAUCAUCAAAUCUUUUCACAAAUACACAAUGGUCUGAAGUAGUCUUUCUAUAUCUGUGUUCAAUCAUGAAGGAAUCAAACUUCUUGUACCAUUGUCGAGGCGCCUGCUUGAGUCCAUAUAAGCUCUUCUUCAGCCGACAUACCAAAUCUUCUUUUCCUUUGACUUUGAAUCCUUCUGGCUGCUCCAUGUAUAUUUCUUCUUCAAGAUCUCCGUGAAGAAAAGCUGUCUUCACAUCUAGUUGUUCGAUCUCAAGAUUCAGGCUUGCAGCCAAACCGAGUACAACCCGUAUGGAUGACAUCUUCACUACGGGUGAGAAAAUCUCUUCAAAGUCAAUUCCUUUCUUCUGACUGAAACCUUUCACAACUAGCCUUGCCUUAAACCUGGGUUUAGAGUUGUUUUCUUCCGUCUUCAGUCGAUACACCCAUUUGUUCUUGAGUGCUCUUCUACCUUUUGGUAGGUUCACUAGAUCAUAUGUGUGGUUCUCAUGCAGAGAUUGCAUCUCUUCAUGCAUGGCUUUCAACCACUCAUCUUGUUGAUCAUGAGUCAAUGCUUCUUUAUAGCAUUCUGGUUCUCCCCCGUCUGUUAGGAGAACGUAAUCAUCUGGAGAGUACCUACUCGGAGGUCUCCGUACCCUGGUCGAUCUUCUUGGUUGGAAUUCAGCCUCUGGCUCUUCAUCGGCUUGUGCUUCUAGCUCUUCAUCCGCUGCAUCAUCUGCUAUACCAUCAGUUGUAUGACCAUCACUCAUGUCACCAUCAACUGGUUCAUUUAUAAUAGGAUCACUAGCUAGAUCAUCAGUAUCAUUGGAUUCAUCUCGCUCGUCAUUGUGCUCCAAUGGGGAAGGAACUGGAUCUAAGUUAGUUGGAUAUUCUCUAGGAUUAUUAGGUUUAUCACCUCUUCGAAUGUCUUCAAUGUUCUGAUCUUCAAACAAGACAACAUCUCUACUUCUAAUAAUCUUUCUAGCUACAGGAUCCCAUAACCUGUAACCGAAUUCUUCAUUCCUAUAUCCCACGAAGAUACAUUCUUUCGACUUUGCGUCGAGCUUGGAUCUCUCGUCUUUAGGAAUAUGAACAAAAGCUCUACAACCAAAAACUUUCAGAUGAUUGUAGGAAACGUCUUUUCCUGACCAGAACUUGUUCGGGACAUCACCAUUCAAAGGUGCUGAAGGAGAAAGGUUGAUUAGAUCAACCGCAGUCAUCAGGGCUUCACCCCAAAAACUUUUGGGCAGCUUGGCAUGAGAUAACAUUGUUCUUAUUCUUUCAACAAUUGUUCUGUUCAUUCUCUCAGCUAUGCCAUUAUGCUGAGGAGUCUUCGGAACAGAUCUUUCAUGCCUGAUUCCAUUACUUCUACAGUAGUUUCUAAAUGCCCCCAUAUAUUCUCCUCCGUUAUCGGUGCGAAUACAUUUGAAGCUUCUACCAGUCUCUCGUUCAACGCUAGCAUGAAACUGCUUGAAAACUUCAUACACUUGAUCUUUUGUUCUAAGUGCGUAAGCCCAUACCUUCCUGGAAUGAUCGUCAAUGAAGGUAACAAAGUAUCUUGCACCACCAAGAGUACUAGUGGUCAUAGGACCACAAACAUCAGAGUACACAACAUCCAAUACAUUGGGUUUUCUUUGUGCAUGACCAUGUUGGAACGAAGCUCUAUGCUGCUUUCCAGCCAAGCAAUGCGUGCAUGAUUUUAGAGGCAUGUCUUUCUUCAUCCCAAUCAGUGCCUCUCUUUUGGCUAGAAUUUGCAGCCCUUUCUCGCUCAUGUGACCGAGCCGUUUAUGCCAUAGCUCGAUUGAGUCUUCUGCGAGAGCAUUUACGUACCCAUUACUAACUUUUGCAUGUGUCAUGUAUAGGGUGUUCUCCUUCUUCCCUCGUGCUAGGACAAGAAAGUUCUUGCUGAGUUUCCAUUUCCCUUCAGCAAAGACAUUGGUGUAUCCUUCAUCGUCAAGUAAUCCAGUGGAGAUUAGAUUGAGACGCAUGUCUGGAACAUGUCUCACAUCCUUGAGAACCAAGUGACAACUUGUGUUGGUUUCAAGGGAAAUAUCUCCUCUUCCCACGAUCUUGGACAAUUUGUCAUUUUCCAUCCUCACAUUACCAAAAUCUCCAUUGGUGUAAGAUGUAAAGAAGUCCCUCCGUGAGGUAACAUGAAAUGAUGCACCAGAGUCCACUAUCCAACAUGUAUCUUGAGAUGACAAAUUAACGAAGCCAUCACCACAUAGAAUAAUUACCUCAUUUCCACCAGAGGUAGUUGCGGUCGUGUGCCGGGCAUCACUUUUUUCGUUACCUCUAUCUUGCUCUCGUUUAAACAAUCUGCACUCUCUCUUCAUGUGGCCUAUCCCGCCACAAUGGUAACAUUCUAGGUCCUUUCUUGUCUUGAACCUUCCUCUCGAGCCAUCUCUUGGCCUGCCCUUUGACUUGUCUCGUCUGUGGAAUUUUCUAUUGUUAGUUCUUCCACGAUACUCUGAGACGAGGGCUUCUGACUCGGCUACUACACCUUGUUCUUUCCUCCUUGCUUCUUCAUUGAACAUGCUAUCUUUAACUAUGUCCAAUGUAAGAACGCCUUGAGGAGCUGAAUUGCUUAAGGAUACAACUAGUGUAUCCCAGCUAUCAGGCAAAGAGCUGAGUAACAUUAAUGCUUGUAACUCAUCAUCAAUCACCAUCUUCAUAUUCGUCAACAGGUUGAUCAAACCUUGGAAGUCACUGAGAUGCUCGGUAACACUUCGACCAUCUCUGUACUUAAGGUUUACCAACCGUCGGAUAACCGAUGCUUUAUUUUGAGCGGUCUUCCGCUCGUACAUGGACGACAAUUUUGUCCAUAAUUUGUAUGCAUCCGUCUCUUGUGCCACAUGGUGGAACACACUUUGAUCCACCCAUUGUCGGAUUUGUCCGACAACUUUUCUAUUCAGAAUGCUCCAUGCAUCGUCUGACUUCCCUGCUGGUUUUUGUCCCAGCAAUUGAAGAGGCUCAUACAAAUCCUUGCAGUAAAGGAUGUCCUCCAUUCUUGGAUUCCAAAUGGAGUAAUUGGAUGCAGUCAAUUUUAACAUUGUUGCUAAUGAUGAUGAUGAUGACUCCUCCAUCUUAAAUUACACAAGAAUAUAAUUUUUGAGCCGAAGCUCUGAUACCACUUGUUGGGAAAGAUUGCGAAAAAUCAAAGAGCCAAUAAAUAAAUAUGGCACUCCCAGGAUCUGACUUCUCCCAGCCUUGUGUAAAUAAAAUGGACAAAAUUAACACUCUAUAUUCCACUAAGAAAAAUAAUGGGAAUACAAAAAUAAUCUCACCAAACACCGGUGGCUAAACUCUCUCUUGGUUUUUCUCUCAAGAGGAUUUUUUCUCUCACACAAGUGAGGUUUUCUUAUCUCUCAAAACUAUCUAUGUUUUGGUUUUCUAAAGGAUGAUUUGAACUGAAGGAAGGCAGCUGCUUUUAUAGCCAACGUUCCUGACAAAUUGGUGGCCUUGCAUGCGAGAGAGUUUUUCUCAUUUUCUCUUCCGUUCGUUUUCUUCAAAUUUUCCCGUCCUUUCUUUUAUUUUAUUUUAAUAUUUAUUUUCCUUCUUUUUCUCUCCUCCACUAAUGAGGGAAACCCAUCAAA